RNAcentral lists this long non-coding RNA (800 nucleotides) under Linum usitatissimum (flax). Its description in RNAcentral is "long non-coding RNA (LUSI_LNC007696)". Lineage: Eukaryota; Viridiplantae; Streptophyta; Magnoliopsida; Malpighiales; Linaceae. The record is from RNAcentral.
AGACUAAAUUUUUUCCUAUGGUGUGCUUCAAGACACUAAAGCACCUAGAAAUGGAUAAGAGGGUUGACACUGAGGAAAAAAGGAUGACAAGCUGAAGAAGAAGAUAAGCUCUCCUCCACACAUCGCCAUACUCAAACAGUCGUCGUCGUCGUCAUCCACCUUCUCAAUAAAGUUGGGUUUUCCCCUUGAGAUUUAGAAUAAGUUUGGCUCGAUUCUCAUGGUUUGAUUAUUAAUCUUGUUGUUAUCAUUAACAUAUGAUAAAUGGAGAAGUUCGUAUCUCAUCAUCUAUGUUUAAAUGUUACAUUCACACGUUGUUUAUCAAAUAUUCAUAAAUAUUUAUUUUUAUUUAUAUACAUAAUUUCUUUAUAUUAUAUAUAAAUGUUAUCUUUUUCUAAUCAACAAAAUUUAACUUUUCAUAAAAAUUAAUGUGACGAAACAAAUUUUUUUUAUCAGCCAAUCAUAUGUUUCUUCUUGUUUUUUAUAAAAUAAUAUUUAUGAGUGAUGGACUAAAUUUGUGAGACUAAAUUUUUUCCUAUGGUGUGCUUCAAGACACUAAAGCACCUAGAAAUGGAUAAGAGGGUUGACACUGAGGAAAAAAGGAUGACAAGCUGAAGAAGAAGAUAAGCUCUCCUCCACACAUCGCCAUACUCAAACAGUCGUCGUCGUCGUCAUCCACCUUCCCCUAACUCUUCUCUCUCAGUCCAACUUCGACUCUUCUCUUUCAACUCUGCGCAGCAGCUGAAGCCGGCCGCUCAAUCAUGGCUUCCCUCCAAAACUCACCUUCCCUCUAUCGUACAUUG